RNAcentral lists this transfer RNA (85 nucleotides) under Felis catus (domestic cat). It matches the Rfam family "tRNA". Rfam says of the family: Transfer RNA (tRNA) molecules are approximately 80 nucleotides in length. Their secondary structure includes four short double-helical elements and three loops (D, anti-codon, and T loops). Lineage: Eukaryota; Metazoa; Chordata; Mammalia; Carnivora; Felidae. The record is from Rfam by way of RNAcentral.
GCCUGGGUGGCUCAGUCGGUUGAGCGCCCGACUUCAGCUCAGGUCACGAUCUCGCGGUCUGUGAGUUCGAGCCCCAUGUCAGGCU